AAGCAGGUUUUACUCGUGGGAAUUUGUGGUUCAUCAUGGUGCGCCGUAUCUGAUGCAUUCCGAGCCACUUGAUCCUCGGUCAAUUGUCGUUAAGCCUCGAGCGCAUAUCCAUAGAAGGGUUUAUCGCUGGAGAAUUGUGAUGGCGGUGGUGUUUGCGGUGGUUUGUGGGUUUAUGUUGGUGUUGGCGGUGUUGUUUGUGUUGUCGAUGUGGUUUGAAAGACCACAAAUUGCUCCUGUGGAGUAUACUGAGCAUGAUGUAGAGUAUAGUGGUGAGAAGUUUGUACUGGUGGGGCAGAAGGGGGCAGGUACGACAACAAAGUAAAGGCUUUGGAGGUCAGGAUGUUCUCUUU
This 350-nucleotide unclassified non-coding RNA is filed under the name Hevea brasiliensis (rubber tree). Lineage: Eukaryota; Viridiplantae; Streptophyta; Magnoliopsida; Malpighiales; Euphorbiaceae. The record is from RNAcentral.